CAGCAGCAGGUACAUCCGGGAAACCCAUCAGACUGGUGGUGGGCCACCACCAGCCCCACCAAAACCAGCUGAUGAGGUAACGCUGAUUGUACAGCUGAUCCUUAAUAAUAGGCUGCCAGUACCUGACGACAUCUUUGAUAGUGAAUUUGUAGAAGCAUGCGUACUGGCCCGACUCAAUUCCACAGCACUGGAAUGUGCUGACACACCUGAAGCUGCAGGACAGCAGCCAGCACAAGAUCUGGUCUUGGACAACCCUGGCAGUCCGCUUAUCAUCAGGAGUGAGGACUGUGAACUUAUAGAUGCGGAAGAUGAUGUGGACCUCCCAGGUGCUAGAACCUCCGCUCAUCCUGUACUAAAAAAAGGCACCUGCUCUGCUCGCAGCAGUAGUGCCACAGCUGCCACCCAAAACCAGUCCUUCACAGGACGAAAGAGGAAGGCAGCAGAAAGCAAAUCUGCUGCUUAUGGCAGGUGUGCCAAGCAGCAGAAACACUUUCGUGAUGAACUGGCCUCAACAUUUGAGGCCCUUGCUGCAAAAGUGGCAACAACGCUGGACAGCAUAGCUUCUGCUGCCGAUAAAAUUGGGUUGGCAGCAGACAGAAUGGCAUCUGCUG
Molecule: long non-coding RNA, 611 nt
Organism: Portunus trituberculatus (swimming crab)
Lineage: Eukaryota; Metazoa; Arthropoda; Malacostraca; Decapoda; Portunidae
Exons: 3
Source: RefSeq, a predicted model, not a curated record